Molecule: ribosomal RNA, 329 nt
Filed under: uncultured eukaryote
Lineage: Eukaryota
Description: partial 18S ribosomal RNA
Rfam family: Eukaryotic small subunit ribosomal RNA
Source: RNAcentral
CCCUUAGAUGUUCUGGGCCGCACGCGCGCUACACUGAUGCAUUCAACGAGUCUAAAACCUGCUCUGAUAGGGGUGGGUAAUCUUUUGAAUGUGCAUCGUGAUUGGGAUAGAUGAUUGCAAUUUUUCAUCUUCAACGAGGAAUGCCUAGUAAACGCAAGUCAUCAGCUUGCAUUGAUUACGUCCCUGCCCUUUGUACACACCGCCCGUCGCUCCUACCGAUUGAAUGAUCCGAUGAAUAUCAUGGAUUGAGGAUUAUAGCAGGUUCGCCUGUCUUGAUCUUCGAGAAGUGAAGUAAAUCUUAUCAUUUAGGGGAAGGAGAAGUCGUAACA